AAUCCUGUGGCGAGUGGAUUCAGUCUGGAGCGGGRGACGCUCCCGGAGGAAGUCMAGGYAGGGCUUCCCUCGAUCGGGGCCGUCUUCCGGGGCGACUUCUCUCGUUCCAGACGCAUUUGUCUCUCGUCCGAAGGACGCUGCAGCCGGUUUGGAAGUGCAAGCGCGACGGCCUGAAGGUGGGGAAACGGCAGGKGGCCGGSGGUUCSCCYCGUGCGGAUUGUCGGUUGUUAGCCYUCCCC
Molecule: ribosomal RNA, 239 nt
Filed under: Tusitala hirsuta
Lineage: Eukaryota; Metazoa; Arthropoda; Arachnida; Araneae; Salticidae
Description: partial 28S ribosomal RNA
Source: RNAcentral